Molecule: transfer RNA, 76 nt
Filed under: Sphaerodactylus townsendi
Lineage: Eukaryota; Metazoa; Chordata; Lepidosauria; Squamata; Sphaerodactylidae
Description: tRNA-Ala
Source: RNAcentral
GGGGAUGGCUGGGGCUCAGUGGUAGAGCAUCCACUUGGCAUGCAGAAGGUUCCAUGUUCAAUCCCCAGCAUUUCCA